UACGUAGGGGCGCAAGCGUUGUCCGGAAUUAUUGGGCGUAAAGAGCUCGUAGGCGGCCUGUUGCGUCCGCGUGUAGAAAUCCCGGGGCUUAACCCCGGGCUUGCAGUGGAUACGGGCAGGCUGGAGGCAGGCAGGGGAGAACGGAAUUCCCGGUGUAGCGGUGAAAUGCGCAGAUAUCGGGAAGAACACCCGUGGCGGAAGGCGGCACUCUGGGACGGUACUGACGCUGAGACGCGAAAGCGUGGGGAGCAAACAGG
Molecule: ribosomal RNA, 257 nt
Filed under: uncultured bacterium
Lineage: Bacteria
Description: partial 16S ribosomal RNA
Rfam family: Bacterial small subunit ribosomal RNA
Source: RNAcentral